RNAcentral lists this ribosomal RNA (468 nucleotides) under uncultured bacterium. RNAcentral describes it as "partial 16S ribosomal RNA". It matches the Rfam family "Bacterial small subunit ribosomal RNA", at positions 28 to 507 of the family's 1533-position model. The record is from RNAcentral.
GACGAACGCUGGCGGCGUGCUUAACACAUGCAAGUCGAACGGAAAGGCCCUGCUUUUGUUGGGUGCUCGAGUGGCGAACGGGUGAGUAACACGUGAGUAACCUGCCCUUGACUUUGUGAUAACUUCAGGAAACUGGGGCUAAUACCGGAUAGGAGCUCCUGCUGCAUGGUGGGGGUUGGAAAGUUUCGGCGGUUGUGGAUAGACUCGCGGCUUAUCAGCUUGUUGGUGGGGUAGUGGCUUACCAAGGCUUUGACGGGUAGGCGGCCUGAGAGGGUGACCGGCGACAUGGCGACUGAGAUACGGCCCAGACGCGUACGGGAGGCAGCAGUGGGGAAUAUUGCACAAUGGGCGGAAGCCUGAUGCAGCAAUGCCGCGUGCGGGAUGACGUCCUUCGGGUGGUAAACAGCUUUCGCCUGUGACGAAGCGGGAGUGACGGUAAUGGGUAAAGAAGCACCGGCUAACUACGUG